Molecule: unclassified non-coding RNA, 305 nt
Filed under: plant metagenome
Description: partial contains 5.8S ribosomal RNA, internal transcribed spacer 2, and large subunit ribosomal RNA
Rfam family: 5.8S ribosomal RNA (bases 1-105)
Source: RNAcentral
GAAAUGCGAUAAGUAGUGUGAAUUGCAGAAUUCAGUGAAUCAUCGAAUCUUUGAACGCACAUUGCGCCCUUUGGUAUUCCUUAGGGCAUGCCUGUUCGAGCGUCAUCUAAACCUUCAAGCCCUGCUUGGUGUUGGGUGCCUGUCCCGCCUCCGCGCGCGGACUUACCUCAAAUCCAUUGGCGGCCCCCGCGUCGGCCACGAGCGCAGCAGAAACGCGAACUCGUGAGCCCGUCCGGGCGGCUCCCAGAAGCUACACCCACCCAGUUUGACCUCGGAUCAGGUAGGGAUACCCGCUGAACUUAAGC